RNAcentral lists this ribosomal RNA (567 nucleotides) under Pseudomonas veronii. RNAcentral's name for it is "bacterial SSU rRNA". It matches the Rfam family "Bacterial small subunit ribosomal RNA", at positions 64 to 626 of the family's 1533-position model. The record is from RNAcentral. Lineage: Bacteria; Pseudomonadati; Pseudomonadota; Gammaproteobacteria; Pseudomonadales; Pseudomonadaceae.
GAGCGGUAGAGAGAAGCUUGCUUCUCUUGAGAGCGGCGGACGGGUGAGUAAUGCCUAGGAAUCUGCCUGGUAGUGGGGGAUAACGUUCGGAAACGGACGCUAAUACCGCAUACGUCCUACGGGAGAAAGCAGGGGACCUUCGGGCCUUGCGCUAUCAGAUGAGCCUAGGUCGGAUUAGCUAGUUGGUGAGGUAAUGGCUCACCAAGGCGACGAUCCGUAACUGGUCUGAGAGGAUGAUCAGUCACACUGGAACUGAGACACGGUCCAGACUCCUACGGGAGGCAGCAGUGGGGAAUAUUGGACAAUGGGCGAAAGCCUGAUCCAGCCAUGCCGCGUGUGUGAAGAAGGUCUUCGGAUUGUAAAGCACUUUAAGUUGGGAGGAAGGGCAGUUACCUAAUACGUGAUUGUUUUGACGUUACCGACAGAAUAAGCACCGGCUAACUCUGUGCCAGCAGCCGCGGUAAUACAGAGGGUGCAAGCGUUAAUCGGAAUUACUGGGCGUAAAGCGCGCGUAGGUGGUUAGUUAAGUUGGAUGUGAAAUCCCCGGGCUCAACCUGGGAACUGCAU